This 73-nucleotide transfer RNA is filed under the name Methanomassiliicoccales archaeon. Its description in RNAcentral is "tRNA-Ala". It matches the Rfam family "tRNA". Rfam says of the family: Transfer RNA (tRNA) molecules are approximately 80 nucleotides in length. Their secondary structure includes four short double-helical elements and three loops (D, anti-codon, and T loops). Lineage: Archaea; Methanobacteriati; Thermoplasmatota; Thermoplasmata; Methanomassiliicoccales. The record is from RNAcentral. RNAcentral also lists the same sequence under 1 other name.
GGGCCGGUAGAUCAGCUGGAAGAUCGCCACCUUGGCAUGGUGGAGGCCGUGGGUUCAAAUCCCACCCGGUCCA